UACGUAGGGUGCGAGCGUUGUCCGGAAUUACUGGGCGUAAAGCGCGCGCAGGCGGUCUUCCAAGUCAGUGGUGAAAGCCCGGAGCUCAACUCCGGAACUGCCAUUGAAACUGUGAGACUAGAGUACGAGAGAGGUGAGUGGAAUUCCCAGUGUAGAGGUGAAAUUCGUAGAUAUUGGGAAGAACACCGGUGGCGAAGGCGGCUCACUGGCUCGUUACUGACGCUCAGGCGCGACAGCGUGGGGAUCAAACAGG
RNAcentral lists this ribosomal RNA (253 nucleotides) under uncultured bacterium. Its description in RNAcentral is "partial 16S ribosomal RNA". It matches the Rfam family "Bacterial small subunit ribosomal RNA", at positions 524 to 776 of the family's 1533-position model. The record is from RNAcentral.